This 925-nucleotide long non-coding RNA is filed under the name Homo sapiens (human). RNAcentral describes it as "HSALNT0051532". Lineage: Eukaryota; Metazoa; Chordata; Mammalia; Primates; Hominidae. The record is from RNAcentral.
UAACAAGGGAUCUGCCCUUGAAGAAAUUAAUGACAUCUGGUGGGAGUGAGUGUUCCCUCUCCCAAGACUGGAUUAGUUACCAAGAGAGGCGGUUGCUAUAAAAUAAGGCUGACUCUCCAGUAUGGUAUCUUUGCACAUGCCCGCUUCCCGUUCUGCUUCUCCAUCAUGUUAGGACACAGCACGAGACCCUCACCAUGGUCAUAACAUGAACUCCCCAGGCGCCAGACUCAUGAGCCAAAUUAACCUUUAUUCUUGAUAAAUUAUCCAGUCUCAGGUAUUGUUACAGCAGCAGAACAUGGACUAGGAGAAAGCGCAAAACAAUGUUUAAUUCCUUUCGGAGUUAGAAUAGUUAACCAUUUUUUGCACAUGACAGGCAUUAGCUGUCAUGUUUUAUAGAUACUAGCUCAUUUAAUCAUUUUCACAAGGCUGUUUCCUUCUCAUCCUUCAGGUCUUAGAAAAAGUGCCAGAGCUCAGACUCCCUUAAAAAGUCACCUGACCCAGUUACUCUCUCCCACAUCACCUGGUUUGUUUCCUUGGGGGCUCUAACUCAUCUGUAAUCUUGCUUCUGUCUCUUCUAGUUCCACUAAGUUUCCAAAUCUGGGCUCUGAAACCACUCCAAGAAUUGAUCAUCAGCCUUAAACAAUCAGUUUUCUUUCCUUGUAAUAAACUGAGUUACUCAUCUAAGAAUGUCAACUUUGUCUUACUACCACUUGACUCAGUUAUUUUUUUCCCAAACAAUAGAAAUCCAGAGCCCAAACUGUAGAAAUUGGCAAUUUCCUUAUUUAAAAACUACUGUCCAUAACAAAAAGUCUAUUAACAAUACCCCAAAGCAGUUAAGAUUUCUACCUCAUAUAAAAUCAUAAACAUUUUAAUUCAAAAUGUUGACAUUUAGAAGAAAAACUACAUAAAAGCAAAUGGAUUUGAA